This 295-nucleotide ribosomal RNA is filed under the name uncultured bacterium. RNAcentral describes it as "partial 16S ribosomal RNA". It matches the Rfam family "Bacterial small subunit ribosomal RNA", at positions 20 to 311 of the family's 1533-position model. The record is from RNAcentral.
UGGCUCAGAACGAACGCUGGCGGCAUGCCUUACACAUGCAAGUUGAACGGCAGCAUGGAGGAGCUUGCUCCUCUGAUGGCGAGUGGCGAACGGGUGAGUAAAGCAUCGGGACGUGCCGUGUAGUGGGGGAUAACGUAGCGAAAGUUACGCUAAUACCGCAUACGCACCGAGGUGGAAAGCAGGGGAUCGCAAGACCUUGCGCUAUACGAGCGGCCGAUGUCAGAUUAGCUAGUUGGUAGUGUAAAGGCCUACCGAAAAGACGAUCUGUAGCGGGUCUGAGAGGAUGAUCCGCCAC